Molecule: RNA transcript, 2788 nt
Organism: Panicum virgatum (switchgrass)
Lineage: Eukaryota; Viridiplantae; Streptophyta; Magnoliopsida; Poales; Poaceae
Exons: 7
Source: RefSeq, a predicted model, not a curated record
CGAACCCCCUCUCCCGCACUCUUUUUGUUCCACCAAAUUUUGGUCUUCCUCCCACCCCGGGCCGCCGUCUACCGCGCCUGCUGCGGCCUCCGCUUGCCACCGCAAACCUGGCCGCCAGCGCUGCGGGCCACCGCGGUGAGGCUGCCACCUCCGCCAGCUGCCGCGGACACGCGCCGGGUGAGCCAUCGGCCCGCCGCCGCGGACGCGCGCAGGGUGCGCCCUCCGCCCGCCGCCGCCCUACAAGCCGGGUGCGUACGCACCCGCCGCCCACCAAGCCGGGCGCAGGUGAGGGACGCCGCCGCCGCCGCCCACCACGCCGGGUGCGGGAGACCGGCGUGACACCGGGCCCCGCCUCAACGUGCGGCGGAGACGGCAGGCUGGGAUCCGUGACCCAAUCCCCUACGCCCACCGGAUCUGAGGUCCUGAUUGGUUUCGAGAUCCGUCAGUUUGCUGGUUCGGAUCUCCCUGCUGCAUGUUCUGUAUAUGCAAAACCUCCCCCCACCCCCUCCUAUGAUGUAUUUUUGCUAAUCUGAGUAUAUGUCCAUGCCUAUAAUCUGUUCAUAUAUACAUGGCAUUGAUAUUUUUUUCAGCUGUCCAUGCCUAUGAAAUUUUACUAAUCUGUACAUGUGGCCAUUGCAUUGUUAUUUUUUUUUGUUUCUGCAUAUUUCUUUCAUGGACGUGUGAUGUUAGUUCUAGUUAAUUUAUCAACAUAUCCCAUUGACAUCUAAAUUAAAACAUAUUUCCUUCAUAAAUUAAAACAUAUUCCAUGUGUGGAAUUGUAUAGAUGGAUUUGCGAGAGAGAGAAGAAGAGAUGCAAGCUAUUUGCUCUGGUUGCUAGUCUUAUCACAGCCUGUAUGCAUUCUUUCUGAGUAGGAUGAGUAGGAUUAUGUGAUGUUGCACUUAAAUUGAGGCAUUGGACAUAUGCAAUGAUGAUUUUUUUGGCUGUGAUGCUACACUUAAAUUGGGGCACUGGACAUGUGCAGUGUUAAUAUUUUUCUGUGAUGUAUACACUUAAACUGAGGCUUCAGACAUGUGCGAUGAUGAUUUUUUUAUGUGAUGAUUUUUCUGAAAUUUCCAAGCUAAUAUUUAUAUUUCGUCGAAUAAUUUGAAUGUUCUAUGCCGAUACUUGGAUUUUAUUUUGCAGGGAUUCUUCUUACAAGCUGGCUGAUACUAUUCUUUGCUUAACGGUGACUGGCUCAUCGAUCAUAAUAAAAGAGAUAAGAAUAUGUGUUAAGCCUUACAAUUCACCUUGCCCAUUUAUCUUUCCAAGUUACAUGCUUUCAACUAUUUAUUACUUGGAUUGUUUCUUGUGAGAGAUAACUGUUCUCUACAUUGUUUAGCAAUGCCUGCUAACAGUAAUUCGGUUAUGAUCUCAAUUAUUUUACAAGCUGUUGCGGUAAACAGUAAUUAUCUGCUUAUAUAAUAAGGCUAAAUGUGCAGGUGAGUCAUCUACACGUUUUGUCGCUUCUUUUUGCCCCACUCAUAUUGGUGGCGUCUGUGGUGUUCAGGGAGCCCUAGACGAUGAGGUCACAACUUAACUUCUCAAGAAAUAUGUGGUCCAGAGUUUCUAUAUUUUUGGUCCAGGAUUUCACUUAUCAAGGCUAUAUUUGAAUGCUGAGAAUGAGAUAAUGCACACCCUUGCAUUCUUAGCUGGUGCCAUGGUUUGGUCACAGGUGAGUUCUUUUCUUGCUAUAAAUGUUGACUUCCAGCGAGUGGAGAAUCUGAACACAAAUGGUUGCUACAGAAAGACAACGCUCAUGGUAAAUAUAACUUCUUGCAUAUAUCCUCACGAAGAAUUCUUACCUCAAAUAUCAGCUUCUGUGUAUGCGAUGAAGACUCUGAUUCUGCAGAGUAAAACCAUCCUUCUAGAGAUCAGGGAACUCUGGAGAGAACGAUGUAUUUUAGUGAUGAUGGGCAUAUGCCUACUGUGCUUAUUUGUCUGCUGAGAAGAUAGUACUGAUAUAAUCUUUCCAUUUUUAACUUCCAGAGUUAUGUUACACACAUACCUCGCAGCAGACAUAGCACUCCUUUUCUGCUGCCUUGUCUUUCAGAUAGUGGAGCUCCGCCACCAUCCCAGAAUUGUGAUAUUGGGUCCAGCACUGGUGCGAGUAUGAGCACCAGAUUGAGUACCUUGUCACUUUGAUGUGGAGCGUGGUUCUGCGGCAAGUUGGCACAAUUGCUCGCGCUGAAGUGGCUGGCCGCAAUGCUGGCCACAUCACGGAGCUGAUGGUUUGCUCUGAUGGUCGGGUUUGUAUCUUGACGCUUGAAGCCUGUUUUACCUGCAUUUCUGCCUAAAUUCCAAUAUAGUAAUAUUUCUAAGAGGAAACGUGAAAUUGGCUCUUUCUGGAUAACAUCAGCAGGAAUAUCAGGUGAAGUGCAACUAACCCCCUAGCUAGCAGCAAGAUAUUAAUCCCGAAUUGCGCAUUCUUGCCCCCAAUCUAUUUAAUAUCAUGCCUUGUGGUCACAGUUCGAUCGAUACACACGCUUUGAUGGCUCUCCAUGAGGUCCAUGAUGUUGUACUGUCGCACCAGCAAAGGAUGUACAGAAGAGGGAGCUACAAGGUUUGGAUUAAGCAUUCAAUUUUCUAUUAGUUCUUCUUGCACUGGAAUAUCAAAGAUUGGUUACUGAACUGAACAGUUUGAGCUGAAUUUUAUGUUUUGGCACGUCAGGGAUAUGUAAGGCUGAAUAUGUAGUUUUCUUUGGAAUACAUAUGGUUUCCAAUCGUUCAAUUGAGUGAUCCUGUAACUAAUUUUAAAGUGAAUUUGAAAGCUGCUUACUUGAAAAGAUA